AGACCGAUAGCAAACAAGUACGGUGACGGAAGAUUGAAAAGAACUUUGAAGAGAGAGUUCAAUAGUACGUGAAACUGUGUGGUGGUAAACGGAGGGGUUCUCGAAGUUUCUGUGGGGAACUCAGCCUUGGUGUCGCGUGGCCCUGUAGUAUCCGAUCAGCAAUGACGGUGCUGCUUGGCCGACGUGUCUCUCGGGUGCAUUUCCCCCGCAGUUUACGGCAGGAACUGUUCGGAGCACACCGAAGGCCUCGGGUGAAGUUGUUGGUUCUGCCGGCAGCCCCGGGUGUCCUGGCUUUGCACCGGACAGGUACGUGAGAGGACUCGUAUAGCGAGCAAUGCUCUGUUGCGGUUCUCAUCUCUCUGCCGAGUAGGUCGGUGGCCCCUCCGACCCGUCUUGAAACACGGAC
Molecule: ribosomal RNA, 406 nt
Filed under: Nannocalanus minor
Lineage: Eukaryota; Metazoa; Arthropoda; Copepoda; Calanoida; Calanidae
Description: eukaryotic LSU rRNA
Rfam family: Eukaryotic large subunit ribosomal RNA
Source: RNAcentral